This 614-nucleotide ribosomal RNA is filed under the name uncultured bacterium. RNAcentral's name for it is "bacterial SSU rRNA". It matches the Rfam family "Bacterial small subunit ribosomal RNA", at positions 55 to 714 of the family's 1533-position model. The record is from RNAcentral.
AUGCAGUCGCACGGACCUUUCGGGGUGAGUGGCGGACGGGUGAGUAUCGCGUAGGGAUCUAUCCAUGGGUGGGGGAUAACAUCGGGAAACUGGUGCUAAUACCGCAUGAUACCUGAGGGUCAAAGGCGCAAGUCGCCUGUGGAGGAGCCUGCGUUCGAUUAGCUUGUUGGUGGGGUAAAGGCCUACCAAGGCGAUGAUCGAUAGCUGGUCUGAGAGGAUGAUCAGCCACACUGGGACUGAGACACGGCCCAGACUCCUACGGGAGGCAGCAGUGGGGAAUAUUGGACAAUGGGCGAAAGCCUGAUCCAGCAAUGCCGCGUGUGUGAAGAAGGUCUUCGGAUUGUAAAGCACUUUCGACGGGGACGAUGAUGACGGUACCCGUAGAAGAAGCCCCGGCUAACUUCGUGCCAGCAGCCGCGGUAAUACGAAGGGGGCUAGCGUUGCUCGGAAUGACUGGGCGUAAAGGGCGCGUAGGCGGUUUACACAGUCAGAUGUGAAAUUCCAGGGCUUAACCUUGGGGCUGCAUUUGAUACGUGUAGACUAGAGUGUGAGAGAGGGUUGUGGAAUUCCCAGUGUAGAGGUGAAAUUCGUAGAUAUUGGGAAGAACACCGGUG